CCUCAAGAAGAAAACCCACCAAAGUUCAUUUUUCCUUCAUCGAAUCUUCACUGAUCCUCCACCAAAUCACACCAAAAUUUCACCAUACAUAGCUAAUCACUUGGAGACUGCACUAUGCUAAGAAAAAGGGGCUGUUUUCACGGUUUUCUUGGGCCAAGGAGGGACCGAAAAUUUCUGCUUUGGACACCAAAUGAAGCGCUCAAGGGGACCUUCAAGAGGAUCUCACGGGAGAUGCUUAAAACAAUCGGUUGUACUUGUUUCGUGAACCACUUGGGUUCGAGACCAAGAGUACUCGUGAAUAGUACUAGAUUGU
Long non-coding RNA from Coffea eugenioides, 313 nucleotides. RefSeq lists it as uncharacterized. Lineage: Eukaryota; Viridiplantae; Streptophyta; Magnoliopsida; Gentianales; Rubiaceae. The record is from RefSeq and is a predicted model, not a curated record. The transcript is spliced from 3 exons.